RNAcentral lists this ribosomal RNA (745 nucleotides) under Raphidascaroides brasiliensis. Its description in RNAcentral is "partial 28S ribosomal RNA". It matches the Rfam family "Eukaryotic large subunit ribosomal RNA", at positions 365 to 927 of the family's 3401-position model. Lineage: Eukaryota; Metazoa; Nematoda; Chromadorea; Rhabditida; Anisakidae. The record is from RNAcentral.
UGCAAAGAACUUUGAAGAGAGAGUUCAAGAGGGCGUGAAACCGCUGAGAUUGAAACGGAUAGAGUUGACGGAACUCGGCUGCAUUCAUUCGGUCGGUCUAGCGGCCCGAUGGGACUGGCUUCCUCGAUGAGGGCAGUGCUGUCGGUAGCUGUUGGGCGCUUGAUCGGUGUAUUUGCGGCCGGUAUGCGCUGAGAGCUUUGUGGUCGCAUGUUGAGGGGUGCGUAGUGGACCACUCCUUCCGGGCGUGGAAACCUGCGUGCUUUGAGGCAAGUUGGCCAUGAGGUUUGAGUGUGAGCGUCUCCGCUGUGUGGUGCAUCGGCUUUAUUGGGCUGUUGUGACUAUGGAAAGUCGCGUGCGACCUUGUGUAGUUGGCAGUGGCGUGGUAGGGCGCGGAUGCGUCGAGACGUAUAUCUCGGUGUGAACGUUGACCACCUAUCCGACCCGUCUUGAAACACGGACCAAGGAGUCCAGCAUAUGCGCGAGUCGUUGGGUGAUAAACCUAAAGGCGUAAUGAAAGUGAAAUUCGUCUCGAUACGAACGAUAUGGGAUCCGUGAUGCUUACGGGCAACGCGGCGCACCAUAGCCCCGUCCCCGUUGCAUGCAAUAGGGCGGAGGUAGAGCGCAUACGCUGGGACCCGAAAGAUGGUGAACUAUGCCUGAGCAGGAUGAAGCCAGAGGAAACUCUGGUGGAAGUCCGAAGCGGUUCUGACGUGCAAAUCGAUCGUCUGACUGGGUAUAGGGCGAA